Molecule: long non-coding RNA, 1069 nt
Filed under: Mytilus galloprovincialis (Mediterranean mussel)
Lineage: Eukaryota; Metazoa; Mollusca; Bivalvia; Mytilida; Mytilidae
Source: RNAcentral
UUCCUUAUUCGGUUUCUCUUUCCUUAUUCGAUUUUCAUUUCAUUAUACAGUUUCUAUUUCCUUAUUCGAUUUCCAUUUCCUUAUUUGAUUUUCAUUUCCUUAUUCGGUUUCUUUUUCCUUUUUCAAUGUUCAUUUCCUUUUUCGGUUUCUAUUUCCUAAUUGGGUUUCUAUUUCCUUAUUGGGUUUCUAUUUCCUUAUUGGAUUUUCGUUUCCUUAUUCGAUUUCCAUUUCCUUUUCGAUUUCCAUUCCUAAUUCGGUUUCUUUUUCCUUUUUCAAUAUUCAUUUCCUUUUUCGGUUUCUAUUUCCUUAUUCGGUUUCUAUUUCCUUAUUCAGUUUCUAUUUCCUUAUUGGAUUUUCAUUUCCUUAUUGGAUUUUCAUUUCCUUAUUCGGUUUCUUUUUUCUUAUUCGGUUUCUAUUUCCUUAUUCAGUUUCCAUUUCCUUAUUGGAUUUUCAUUUCCUUAUUGGAUUUUCAUUUCCUUUGAAAAAAAUGAAAAUCCAAUAAGGAAAUGAAAAUCCAAUAAGGAAAUGGAAACUGAAUAAAGAAAUAGAAACCAAAUAAGGAAAUAGAAACCGAAAAAGGAAAUGAAUAUUGAAAAAGGAAAAAGAAACCGAAUAAGAAAUGGAAAUCGAAUAAGGAAAUGGAAAUCGAAUCAGGAAACGAAAAUCCAAUAAGGAAAUAGAAACCCAAUAAGGAAAUAGAAACCAAUAAGGAAAUAGAAACCGAAAAAGGAAAUGAACAUUGAAAAAGGAAAAAGAAACCGAAUAAGGAAAUGGAAAUUAAAUAAGGAAAUGGAAAUCGAAUAAGGAAAUGAAAAUCCAAUAAGGAAAUAGAAACCGAAUAAGGAAAUAGAAACCGAAUAAGUAAAUAGAAACCCAAAAAGGAAAUGAACAUUGAAAAAGGAAAAAGAAACCAAAUAAGGAAAUGAAAAUCGAAUAAGGAAAUGGAAAUCGAAUAAGGAAAUAGAAACUGUAUAAGGAAAUGAAAAUCGAAUAAGGAAAAAGAAACCGAAUAAGGAAACGAAAAAAAAAAUUUGAAAAACUUUUUGAGGAAAAAAAAUUUGAGAAAAAA